RNAcentral lists this ribosomal RNA (427 nucleotides) under uncultured archaeon. RNAcentral describes it as "bacterial SSU rRNA". It matches the Rfam family "Archaeal small subunit ribosomal RNA", at positions 147 to 575 of the family's 1478-position model. The record is from RNAcentral.
UAAUACCGGAUAGAUCAAAGAUACUGGAAUGUUCCUUGAUCCAAAGCUCCGGCGUCCAAGGAUGGAUCUGCGGCUUAUCAGGUAGUAGUGGGUGUAACGUACCUACUAGCCUACGACGAGUACGGGUUGUGAGAGCAAGAGCCCGGAGAUGGAUUCUGAGACAUGAAUCCAGGCCCUACGGGGCGCAGCAGGCGCGAAAUCUUUACAAUGCAGGAAACUGCGAUAAGGGGACCCCGAGUGCCAGCAUCUAAUGCUGGCUGUCCAGCUGUGUAAAUAGCAGUUGUUAGCAAGGGCCGGGCAAGACCGGUGCCAGCCGCCGCGGUAACACCGGCGGCCCGAGUGGUAACCGAUUUUAUUGGGUUUAAAGGGCCCGUAGCCGGCCUGUUAAGUCUCUUGGGAAAUCUGGCGGCUCAAUCGUCAGGCGUUC